RNAcentral lists this ribosomal RNA (316 nucleotides) under uncultured soil bacterium. Its description in RNAcentral is "bacterial SSU rRNA". It matches the Rfam family "Bacterial small subunit ribosomal RNA", at positions 26 to 328 of the family's 1533-position model. The record is from RNAcentral.
AGAUUGAACGCUGGCGGCAGGCCUAACACAUGCAAGUCGAGCGGUAGAGAGGUGCUUGCAUCUCUUGAGAGCGGCGGACGGGUGAGUAAUGCCUAGGAAUCUGCCUAGUGGUGGGGGAUAACGUUCGGAAACGGACGCUAAUACCGCAUACGUCCUACGGGAGAAGCGGGGGACCUUCGGGCCUCGCGCCAUUAGAUGAGCCGUAGGUCGGAUUAGCUUAGUUGGUAGAAGGGUAAACGGCUACGAACCGAAGGCAAACGACGUCCUUAAGCUGGUCUGAAGAGAUGAAUCAGCCCACACGUGGGACUGGACGACC